UGGGGAAUAUUGGGCAAUGGGCGCAAGCCUGACCCAGCAACGCCGCGUGAGGGAAGAAGGUCUUCGGAUUGUAAACCUCUGUCCUUGGGGACGAAAAAAAUGACGGUACCCAAGGAGGAAGCUCCGGCUAACUACGUG
This 138-nucleotide ribosomal RNA is filed under the name uncultured bacterium. Its description in RNAcentral is "partial 16S rRNA". It matches the Rfam family "Bacterial small subunit ribosomal RNA", at positions 355 to 507 of the family's 1533-position model. The record is from RNAcentral.